GACCUGAUAUUUUGGAAAUACGGGACUUUGAACGCCCCUUUUAGAUGUUCGAUUCAUCUUCA
RNAcentral lists this transfer RNA (62 nucleotides) under Dendrobaena pentheri. RNAcentral's name for it is "partial tRNA-Ser". Lineage: Eukaryota; Metazoa; Annelida; Clitellata; Crassiclitellata; Lumbricidae. The record is from RNAcentral.